Molecule: ribosomal RNA, 539 nt
Filed under: uncultured Geobacteraceae bacterium
Lineage: Bacteria; Pseudomonadati; Thermodesulfobacteriota; Desulfuromonadia; Geobacterales; Geobacteraceae
Description: bacterial SSU rRNA
Rfam family: Bacterial small subunit ribosomal RNA
Source: RNAcentral
GAGUUUGAUCCUGGCUCAGAACGAACGCUGGCGGCGUGCCUAACACAUGCAAGUCGAACGUGAUCCAGAGCUUGCUCUGGUGAAAGUGGCGCACGGGUGAGUAACGCGUGGAUAACCUACCCUGGUAUCCGGGAUAACAUUCCGAAAGGGGUGCUAAUACCGGAUAAGCCCACGGGCUCUUUGAGCUUGCGGGAAGAGGUGGCCUCUAUUUAUAAGCUACUGUGUCAGGAUGGGUCCGCGUACCAUUAGCUAGUUGGCGGUGUAACGGACCACCAAGGCGACGAUGGUUAGCUGGUCUGAGAGGAUGAUCAGCCACACUGGAACUGAGACACGGUCCAGACUCCUACGGGAGGCAGCAGUGGGGAAUUUUGCGCAAUGGGGGAAACCCUGACGCAGCAACGCCGCGUGAGUGAUGAAGGCCUUUGGGUCGUAAAGCUCUGUCAGAGGGGAAGAAAUGAUAUAGUGCUAAUACCACUUUAUCUUGACGGUACCCUCAAGGGAAGCACCGGCUAACUCCGUGCCAGCAGCCGCGGUAAUAC